GAUGAACGCUGGCGGCGUGCCUAAUACAUGCAAGUCGAACGAACAGAUAAGGAUCUUGCUCCUUUGACGUUAGCGGCGGACGGGUGAGUAACACGUGGAUAACCUACCUAUAAGACUGGGAUAACUUCGGCAAACCGGAGCUAAUACCGGAUAACAUAUUGAACCGCAUUGUUCAAUAGUGAAAGGCGGCUUUGCUGUCACUUAUAGAUGGAUCCGCGCCGUAUUAGCUAGUUGGUAAGGUAACGGCUUACCAAGGCAACGAUACGUAGCCGACCUGGGAGGGUGAUCGGCCACACUGGAACUGAGACACGGUCCAGACUCCGACGGGAGGCAGCAGUAGGGAAUAUUCCGCAAUGGGCGAAAGCCUGACGGAGCAACGCCGCGUGAGUGAUGAAGGUCUUCGGAUCGUAAAACUCUGUUAGCAGGGAAGAACAAAUGUGUAAGUAACUGUGCACAUCUUGACGGUACCUGAUCAGAAAGCCACGGCUAACUACGUG
Molecule: ribosomal RNA, 497 nt
Filed under: uncultured bacterium
Lineage: Bacteria
Description: partial 16S ribosomal RNA
Rfam family: Bacterial small subunit ribosomal RNA
Source: RNAcentral